GAAUUAUAAAGAGGAGUCGAGAGAACGGGCUCAUGGAAACUCCGACAACCUGCAAGACCACUUGCAAGGUGCCAAAACCCGACCUGAGAACCAGGAGUUAUAAUUU
Molecule: non-coding RNA, 106 nt
Filed under: Butyricimonas synergistica
Lineage: Bacteria; Pseudomonadati; Bacteroidota; Bacteroidia; Bacteroidales; Odoribacteraceae
Description: SAM-I sequence
Rfam family: SAM riboswitch aptamer (S box leader)
About the family: The SAM riboswitch is found upstream of a number of genes which code for proteins involved in methionine or cysteine biosynthesis in Gram-positive bacteria.
Source: RNAcentral